RNAcentral lists this ribosomal RNA (470 nucleotides) under uncultured bacterium. RNAcentral's name for it is "bacterial SSU rRNA". It matches the Rfam family "Bacterial small subunit ribosomal RNA", at positions 9 to 507 of the family's 1533-position model. The record is from RNAcentral.
AAGUUUGAUCAUGGCUCAGGAUGAACGCUGGCGGAGUGCCUAACACAUGCAAGUCGAGCGGCAGCGCGAGUAGUUUACUACUUGGCGGCGAGCGGCGGACGGCUGAGUAACGCGUGGGAACAUGCCCCAAAGUGAGGAAUAACUGCCCGAAAGGGUAGCUAAUGCCGCAUACGAUCUUCGGAUUAAAGGAUUUAUCCGCUUUGGGAGUGGCCUGCGUACGAUUAGAUAGUUGGUGAGGUAAUGGCUCACCAAGUCUACGAUCGUUAACUGGUUUGAGAGGAUGAUCAGUCAGACUGGAACUGAGACACGGUCCGGACUCCUACGGGAGGCAGCAGUGAGGAAUCUUCCACAAUGGACGAAAGUCUGAUGGAGCAACUCCGCGUGCAGGAUGAAGGCCUUCGGGUCGUAAACUGCUUUUAUGAGUGAAGAAUAUGACGGUAACUCAUGAAUAAGGGUCGGCUAACUACGUG